CGUAGCAUAGUUGGAUAAUGCAACGGAUUCCGAUUCCGGAGAUCGGGGGUUCGAAUCCCUCCG
This 63-nucleotide transfer RNA is filed under the name human gut metagenome. It matches the Rfam family "tRNA", at positions 6 to 65 of the family's 71-position model. Rfam says of the family: Transfer RNA (tRNA) molecules are approximately 80 nucleotides in length. The record is from RNAcentral.